This 450-nucleotide ribosomal RNA is filed under the name uncultured bacterium. Its description in RNAcentral is "bacterial SSU rRNA". It matches the Rfam family "Bacterial small subunit ribosomal RNA", at positions 354 to 796 of the family's 1533-position model. The record is from RNAcentral.
GUGGGGAAUAUUGGACAAUGGGCGAAAGCCUGAUCCAGCCAUGCCGCGUGUGUGAAGAAGGUCUUCGGAUUGUAAAGCACUUUAAGUUGGGAGGAAGGGCAGUAAGUUAAUACCUUGCUGUUUUGACGUUACCGACAGAAUAAGCACCGGCUAACUUCGUGCCAGCAGCCGCGGUAAUACGAAGGGUGCAAGCGUUAAUCGGAAUUACUGGGCGUAAAGCGCGCGUAGGUGGUUUUGUAAGUUGGAGGUGAAAUCCCCGGGCUCAACCUGGGAACUGCCUCCAAAACUGCAUGACUAGAGUACGGUAGAGGGUAGUGGAAUUUCCUGUGUAGCGGUGAAAUGCGGAGAUAUAGGAAGGAACACCAGUGGCGAAGGCGACUACCUGGACUGAUACUGACACUGAGGUGCGAAAGCGUGGGGAGCAAACAGGAUUAGAAACCCCAGUAGUCC